This 324-nucleotide long non-coding RNA is filed under the name Androctonus crassicauda. Lineage: Eukaryota; Metazoa; Arthropoda; Arachnida; Scorpiones; Buthidae. The record is from RNAcentral.
GCCAGAGGAAUGAAGAAAGAGAUAAAUAUUUUUCAUUCGUUUAACCAAAUAUAUGGACUCAGAUAUUCGGAAAAAAUUCCGAGAAGUGCAAAUAUCAUAAUAAAAAUAGAUACAGUCGGCCCUCAGUAUCCGCGGAUAGUUGGUUCCAGAAAUCUCCCGGAUGCUCAAUCCUUUAUCUAAAAUGGUAUAGUAUUUACAUAUAACUUUCGCACCUUUUCCUGUAUACUUUAAAUCAUUUGUAGAUCACUUAUAAUAUUUAACACAAUGUAAAUGUUAUGUAAAUAGUUGUUAUACUGUAGUCUUUAGGGCCUAAUGAUAAAAAAC